This is a non-coding RNA of Pelecanus crispus (Dalmatian pelican), 74 nucleotides long. The record is from Rfam. NCBI's taxonomy places the organism in Eukaryota, Metazoa, Chordata, Aves, Pelecaniformes, Pelecanidae.
GCUGGGUUAGCUCAGUUGGUUAGAGCAUGGUGCUAAUAACACCAAGUUCACAGCUUCAAUCCCUGCUUACUGCA